RNAcentral lists this ribosomal RNA (468 nucleotides) under uncultured bacterium. Its description in RNAcentral is "partial 16S ribosomal RNA". It matches the Rfam family "Bacterial small subunit ribosomal RNA", at positions 28 to 507 of the family's 1533-position model. The record is from RNAcentral.
GACGAACGCUGGCGGCGUGCUUAACACAUGCAAGUCGAACGGAAAGGCCCUGCUUUUGUGGGGUGCUCGAGUGGCGAACGGGUGAGUAACACGUGAGUAACCUGCCCUUGACUUUGGGAUAACUUCAGGAAACUGGGGCUAAUACCGGAUAGGAGCUCCUGCUGCAUGGUGGGGGUUGGAAAGUUUCGGCGGUUGGGGAUGGACUCGCGGCUUAUCAGCUUGUUGGUGGGGUAGUGGCUUACCAAGGCUUUGACGGGUAGCCGGCCUGAGAGGGUGACCGGCCACAUUGGGACUGAGAUACGGCCCAGACUCCUACGGGAGGCAGCAGUGGGGAAUAUUGCACAAUGGGCGGAAGCCUGAUGCAGCAACGCCGCGUGCGGGAUGACGGCCUUCGGGUUGUAAACCGCUUUCGCCUGUGACGAAGCGUGAGUGACGGUGAUGGGUAAGGAAGCACCGGCUAACUACGUG